This 253-nucleotide ribosomal RNA is filed under the name uncultured bacterium. RNAcentral describes it as "partial 16S ribosomal RNA". It matches the Rfam family "Bacterial small subunit ribosomal RNA", at positions 524 to 776 of the family's 1533-position model. The record is from RNAcentral.
UACGUAGGGUGCAAGCGUUGUCCGGAAUUAUUGGGCGUAAAGAGCUCGUAGGCGGUCUGUCGCGUCUGCUGUGAAAACCUAGGGCUUAACCCUGGGCCUGCAGUGGGUACGGGCAGACUAGAGUGCGGUAGGGGAGACUGGAAUUCCUGGUGUAGCGGUGAAAUGCGCAGAUAUCAGGAGGAACACCGGUGGCGAAGGCGGGUCUCUGGGCCGUAACUGGCGCUGAGGAGCGAAAGCAUGGGGAGCGAACAGG